Molecule: small nuclear RNA, 106 nt
Filed under: Rhodnius prolixus
Lineage: Eukaryota; Metazoa; Arthropoda; Insecta; Hemiptera; Reduviidae
Source: RNAcentral
ACACGCUUCUGCGGUAUAUGUACUGAAAUUGGAAAGAUACUGAGAAGAUUAGCGUAGCCGUGGUGCAAAGAUGACACGCAAAAAUAUUGAAACAUUCCUCGCCACU